GAUGAACGCUGGCGGCGUGCCUAAUACAUGCCAGUCGAGCGAACAGACGAGGAGCUUGCUCCUUUGACGUUAGCGGCGGACGGGUGAGUAACACGUGGGUAACCUACCUAUAAGACUGGGAUAACUUCGGGAAACCGGAGCUAAUACCGGAUAAUAUUUCGAACCGCAUGGUUCGAUAGUGAAAGAUGGCUCUGCUAUCACUUAUAGAUGGACCUGCGCCGUAUUAGCUAGUUGGUAAGGUAACGGCUUACCAAGGCAACGAUACGUAGCCGACCUGAGAGGGUGAUCGGCCACACUGGAACUGAGACACGGUCCAGACUCCUACGGGAGGCAGCAGUAGGGAAUCUUCCGCAAUGGGCGAAAGCCUGACGGAGCAACGCCGCGUGAGUGAUGAAGGUCUUCGGAUCGUAAAACUCUGUUAUUAGGGAAGAACAAACGUGUAAGUAACUGUGCACGUCUUGACGGUACCUAAUCAGAAAGCCACGGCUAACUACGU
Molecule: ribosomal RNA, 496 nt
Filed under: uncultured bacterium
Lineage: Bacteria
Description: partial 16S ribosomal RNA
Rfam family: Bacterial small subunit ribosomal RNA
Source: RNAcentral